Molecule: long non-coding RNA, 701 nt
Filed under: Nicotiana benthamiana
Lineage: Eukaryota; Viridiplantae; Streptophyta; Magnoliopsida; Solanales; Solanaceae
Description: long non-coding RNA (NBEN_LNC034388)
Source: RNAcentral
GCGAUUAGUAGAGUACUACACUAAGGGAAAGCUUAUGGUGUAUCUGUGUGGUAUGUGAAUGUUCUCUGCUAAGAGUGAGUGAAUAUUUUCUAUCUAUAGUUCCUUGUGCUUGAUUUUAUGUGUGUGGAACUUCUCUAAAAAAUGUGAUGUGAGGUCAUGUGACUCGGGAAGAAAAAGCAAGUUUUCACCUCUGUUUAGAGUAACUAGAGUAAGCAUGAGUGUGUCAUGGUAUUAGAGUCUUCAUCUGAGGUGUGGUUGUUGCACUGCUUAGGUUGUUCUUUCAUAAUGGCGGAUGUGACAUAAAAGUGGGUAAUGCAUCGAACGAUUAGGCCUAGAAGUGUGGUUCAACUUUCUCGAGAAAAAGCAAAGAUUUAAGUUUGGGGUGUUGAUACUAGGUGAAUUGAACUAUAGUUAGGCCCUAAAGAAUCACUUUCUUGUAUAAUUUUUAUGGUAAAAGUGAUAACAAAAUGCUCUGAUUAAGCUUUUCAUGCUUUGCAGGUUACAUAAAAGAAGGCUAUGGAGUAACUUUUGGAUCAAUUAUGGAGAAAAGGAGGCCAAUCACACAAUAUCCGCCAAGUGAACCAUGAGAAAUGCACAAACCAGAACUGGAGAUGGACUGCCACGAUCCCCGCGUAACCGCGGUCACACCGCAACAGGAAGCUGUUGCGGAUUCUGAGAAGUGAUUUGGUCGCGGUCCUGGU